This 356-nucleotide transfer-messenger RNA is filed under the name Bacillota bacterium. It matches the Rfam family "transfer-messenger RNA". Rfam says of the family: Bacterial tmRNA, also known as 10Sa RNA or SsrA, is named for its dual tRNA and mRNA-like properties. Its role is to liberate the mRNA from a stalled ribosome. The record is from RNAcentral. Lineage: Bacteria; Bacillati; Bacillota.
GGGGGCGAAUCAGGUUCGACGGGGGUCGUUGGUUCCCAGGGAAGCGAGCCGAGGUGCCGUUGCCUCGUUAAACUGCGGCAAAGGCUUAACAGCCAACAACGAUUUCGCUCUGGCUGCUUAACUAAGUUAGCCACGCUCAGCCGCUCCUCGCCCGCGGGCGCGGACAUGGGCGUCAUGCAGCGGGAUACCCCGAAGGCUUCCGCCUGGAGCCGGUAGGGGGAAAUCAAUCAGGCUGGUCCAGGCCGGACCCCGCCUUCAGGGGCCGGCAGGGGCGAGAUCAAACUGGAGGCUACGCUCGUAGAUGCCCUGAGAGUCAGUCUCUCGGACGCGGGGGGCAGAACCCGCCGCCUCCACCA